This 465-nucleotide ribosomal RNA is filed under the name uncultured bacterium. RNAcentral describes it as "partial 16S ribosomal RNA". It matches the Rfam family "Bacterial small subunit ribosomal RNA", at positions 338 to 795 of the family's 1533-position model. The record is from RNAcentral.
CCUACGGGUGGCAGCAGUGGGGAAUAUUGCGCAAUGGGCGAAAGCCUGACGCAGCGACGCCGCGUGAGGGAUGAAGGUCUUCGGAUCGUAAACCUCUGUCAGCAGGGAAGAACGGUCACUGUGCUAAUCAGCAGUGAAUUGACGGUACCUGCAAAGGAAGCACCGGCUAACUCCGUGCCAGCAGCCGCGGUAAUACGGAGGGUGCGAGCGUUAAUCGGAAUUACUGGGCGUAAAGCGCGCGUAGGCGGUAUGUCAAGUCAAGGGUGAAAUCCCCGCGCUCAACGUGGGAACUGCCUUUGAAACUGGCAAACUGGAGUGUGUGAGAGGAUAGUGGAAUUCCAGGUGUAGGGGUGAAAUGCGUAGAUAUCUGGAGGAACAUCAGUGGCGAAGGCGACUAUCUGGCACAUAACUGACGCUGAGGAGCGAAAGCGUGGGUAGCAAACAGGAUUAGAUACCCUAGUAGUC